Molecule: ribosomal RNA, 467 nt
Filed under: uncultured bacterium
Lineage: Bacteria
Description: partial 16S ribosomal RNA
Rfam family: Bacterial small subunit ribosomal RNA
Source: RNAcentral
GACGAACGCUGGCGGCGUGCUUAACACAUGCAAGUCGAACGGAAAGGCCCUGCUUUUGUGGGGUGCUCGAGUGGCGAACGGGUGAGUAACACGUGAGUAACCUGCCCUUGACUUUGGGAUAACUUCAGGAAACUGGGGCUAAUACCGGAUAGGAGCUCCUGCUGCAUGGUGGGGGUUGGAAAGUUUCGGCGGUUGGGGAUGGACUCGCGGCUUAUCAGCUUGUUGGUGGGGUAGUGGCUUACCAAGGCUUUGACGGGUAGCCGGCCUGAGAGAGUGACCGGCCACAUUGGGACUGAGAUACGGCCCAGACUCCUACGGGAGGCAGCAGUGGGGAAUAUUGCACAAUGGGCGGAAGCCUGAUGCAGCAACGCCGCGUGCGGGAUGACGGCCUUCGGGUUGUAAACCGCUUUCGCCUGUGACGAAGCGUGAGUGACGGUAAUGGGUAAAGAAGCACCGGCGAACUACGU